Molecule: ribosomal RNA, 332 nt
Filed under: uncultured Pseudomonadota bacterium
Lineage: Bacteria; Pseudomonadati; Pseudomonadota
Description: bacterial SSU rRNA
Rfam family: Bacterial small subunit ribosomal RNA
Source: RNAcentral
UGCGUAGGUGGUUUUGUAAGUUAGAUGUGAAAUUCCUGGGCUUAACCUGGGGACUGCGUCUGAUACUGCGAAGCUAGAGUACUGUAGAGGAAAGUGGAAUUUCCGGUGUAGCAGUGAAAUGCGUAGAUAUCGGAAGGAACAUCAGUGGCGAAGGCGACUUUCUGGACAGAUACUGACACUGAGGCACGAAAGCGUGGGGAGCAAACAGGAUUAGAUACCCUGGUAGUCCAUGCUGUAAACGAUGAAGACUGGCUGUUGGUUGCCCUUGGGCAAUUAGUAGCGAAGCUAACGCGUUAAGUCUUCCGCCUGGGGAGUACGGCCGCAAGGUUAAA